RNAcentral lists this ribosomal RNA (403 nucleotides) under bacterium. Its description in RNAcentral is "partial 16S ribosomal RNA". It matches the Rfam family "Bacterial small subunit ribosomal RNA", at positions 355 to 776 of the family's 1533-position model. The record is from RNAcentral.
UGGGGAAUAUUGCACAAUGGGGGAAACCCUGAUGCAGCGACGCCGCGUGAACGAAGAAGGUAUUCGUAUCGUAAAGUUCUGUCCUAUGGGAAGAUAAUGACAGUACCAUAGAAGAAAGCUCCGGCUAAAUACGUGCCAGCAGCCGCGGUAAUACGUAUGGAGCGAGCGUUGUCCGGAAUUAUUGGGCGUAAAGGGUACGCAGGCGGAUUAAUAAGUCGAAUGUUAAAGAUCGGGGCUCAACCCCGCAAAGCAUUGGAAACUGAUAAACUUGAGUAGUGGAGAGGAAAGUGGAAUUCCUAGUGUAGUGGUGAAAUACGUAGAUAUUAGGAGGAAUACCAGUAGCGAAGGCGACUUUCUGGACACAAACUGACGCUGAGGUACGAAAGCGUGGGGAGCAAACAGG